AGUUAGGACAGUCUUAAAGGGAGAGUUCACAGGCAUAAACACAAUGAAGCCUACAGCAAUAAAAUUAGCAUAGCAUCUUAAUUCAAAAGCUUAGGCCAGCAAUGAAAGUUGAACAUGGUGGAAGGGGAAGAAGUUUUAGUUAACAUUUAGAAGUCCCACAUCGAGUAUUUCAUGAAAGAAAUAAUUCUAUAUAAUCUUCUGACAAGGCUGCCAGCUUGCCGAGCUGGGUAACUUCAACUUGUAACUCAAGUGGGGGCAUGAAGGUGAUGGAACAUGGCUUAGGAUUUGCCAGGUUGGGUUGGUGGCUGCACCAUGCCGGCCUGCCCGCUCCAAGUUGAGAGUUGGGCCAAUGGGACCUAGGCGAAGGCUUGAGUCUCCUUGGUCCUAGACCUAGACUGGAGGGCACUGUGUGAGGCUGGUUUCACAGAGCAGCAAACACCUCCGGCUCUUGACAGUGAGUGGAGGGAUAACUGGCCGCUGCACUUCUAGCCCAAUAUGCCUGGUGAGCCUAGCCACUUGAACCACAACUUUUUU
Molecule: long non-coding RNA, 534 nt
Filed under: Medicago truncatula (barrel medic)
Lineage: Eukaryota; Viridiplantae; Streptophyta; Magnoliopsida; Fabales; Fabaceae
Description: lncRNA gene6084
Rfam family: Plant signal recognition particle RNA (bases 218-532)
Source: RNAcentral